RNAcentral lists this ribosomal RNA (274 nucleotides) under uncultured bacterium. RNAcentral describes it as "partial 16S ribosomal RNA". It matches the Rfam family "Bacterial small subunit ribosomal RNA", at positions 523 to 796 of the family's 1533-position model. The record is from RNAcentral.
AUACGGAGGGUGCAAGCGUUAUUCGGAAUCACUGGGCGUAAAGGACGCGUAGGCGGGAAGCCAAGUCUGAUGAGAAAUCCUAUGGCUUAACCAUAGAACUGCAUUGGAAACUGGUUACCUAGAGUAUGGGAGGGGGAGAUGGAAUUAGUGGUGUAGGGGUAAAAUCCGUAGAUAUCACUAGGAAUACCGAAAGCGAAGGCGAUCUCCUGGAACAAUACUGACGCUAAGGCGUGAAAGCGUGGGGAGCAAACGGGAUUAGAUACCCCAGUAGUCC